Molecule: ribosomal RNA, 465 nt
Filed under: uncultured bacterium
Lineage: Bacteria
Description: partial 16S ribosomal RNA
Rfam family: Bacterial small subunit ribosomal RNA
Source: RNAcentral
GACGAACGCUGGCGGCGUGCUUAACACAUGCAAGUCGAACGGAAAGGCCCUGCUUGCAGGGUACUCGAGUGGCGAACGGGUGAGUAACACGUGGGUGAUCUGCCCUGCACUUCGGGAUAAGCCUGGGAAACUGGGUCUAAUACCGGAUAGGAGCCAUUUUUAGUGUGAUGGUUGGAAAGUUUUUUCGGUGUAGGAUGAGCUCGCGGCCUAUCAGCUUGUUGGUGGGGUAAUGGCCUACCAAGGCGGCGACGGGUAGCCGGCCUGAGAGGGUGGACGGCCACAUUGGGACUGAGAUACGGCCCAGACUCCUACGGGAGGCAGCAGUGGGGAAUAUUGCACAAUGGGCGCAAGCCUGAUGCAGCGACGCCGCGUGGGGGAUGACGGCCUUCGGGUUGUAAACUCCUUUCGCUAGGGACGAAGCUUUUUGUGACGGCACCUAGAUAAGAAGCACCGGCUAACUACGUG